Molecule: ribosomal RNA, 269 nt
Filed under: uncultured bacterium
Lineage: Bacteria
Description: partial 16S ribosomal RNA
Rfam family: Bacterial small subunit ribosomal RNA
Source: RNAcentral
UACGUAGGGUGCAAGCGUUAAUCGGAAUUACUGGGCGUAAAGCGUGCGCAGGCGGUUAUGCAAGACAGAGGUGAAAUCCCCGGGCUCAACCUGGGAACUGCCCUUUGUGACUGCAUAGCUAGAGUACGGUAGAGGGGGAUGGAAUUCCGCGUGUAGCAGUGAAAUGCGUAGAUAUGCGGAGGAACACCGAUGGCGAAGGCAUCCCCUGGACCUGUACUGACGCUCAUGCACGAAAGCGUGGGGAGCAAACGAGGAUACGAAACCGGGUA